UGUGAUGGGGAAGCUCCUUAUGGAGCGAAGUCUUUGAUUCCCCGCUGCCAAGAAAAGCUUCUAGCGAGAUAAAAGGUGCCUGUACCGCAAACCGACACAGGUAGGCGAGGAGAGAAUCCUAAGGUGUGCGAGAGAACUCUGGUUAAGGAACUCGGCAAAAUGACCCCGUAACUUCGGGAGAAGGGGUGCUUUCUUAACGGAAAGCCGCAGUGAAUAGGCCCAAGCGACUGUUUAGCAAAAACACAGCUCUCUGCGAAGCCGUAAGGCGAAGUAUAGGGGGUGACACCUGCCCGGUGCUGGAAGGUUAAGGAGAGGGGUUAGCGUAAGCGAAGCUCUGAACUGAAGCCCCAGUAAACGGCGGCCGUAACUAUAACGGUCCUAAGGUAGCGAAAUUCCUUGUCGGGUAAGUUCCGACCCGCACGAAAGGUGUAACGAUUUGGGCACUGUCUCAACCAGAGACUCGGUGAAAUUAUAGUACCUGUGAAGAUGCAGGUUACCCGCGACAGGACGGAAAGACCCCGUGGAGCUUUACUGUAGCCUGAUAUUGAAUUUUGGUACAGUUUGUACAGGAUAGGCGGGAGCCAUUGAAACCGGAGCGCUAGCUUCGGUGGAGGCGCUGGUGGGAUACCGCCCUGACUGUAUUGAAAUUCUAACCUACGGGUCUUAUCGACCCGGGAGACAGUGUCAGGUGGGCAGUUUGACUGGGGCGGUCGCCUCCUAAAGUGUAACGGAGGCGCCCAAAGGUUCCCUCAGAAUGGUUGGAAAUCAUUCGUAGAGUGCAAAGGCAUAAGGGAGCUUGACUGCGAGACCUACAAGUCGAGCAGGGACGAAAGUCGGGCUUAGUGAUCCGGUGGUUCCGCAUGGAAGGGCCAUCGCUCAACGGAUAAAAGCUACCCCGGGGAUAACAGGCUUAUCUCCCCCAAGAGUCCACAUCGACGGGGAGGUUUGGCACCUCGAUGUCGGCUCAUCGCAUCCUGGGGCUGUAGUCGGUCCCAAGGGUUGGGCUGUUCGCCCAUUAAAGCGGUACGCGAGCUGGGUUCAGAACGUCGUGAGACAGUUCGGUCCCUAUCCGUCGUGGGCGUAGGAAAUUUGAGAGGAGCUGUCCUUAGUACGAGAGGACCGGGAUGGACGCACCGCUGGUGUACCAGUUGUUCUGCCAAGGGCAUAGCUGGGUAGCUAUGUGCGGAAGGGAUAAGUGCUGAAAGCAUCUAAGCAUGAAGCCCCCCUCAAGAUGAGAUUUCCCAUAGCGUAAGCUAGUAAGAUCCCUGAAAGAUGAUCAGGUUGAUAGGUUCGAGGUGGAAGCAUGGUGACAUGUGGAGCUGACGAAUACUAAUAGAUCGAGGACUUAACCAUAUAA
RNAcentral lists this ribosomal RNA (1357 nucleotides) under Bacillus luti. Its description in RNAcentral is "bacterial LSU rRNA". It matches the Rfam family "Bacterial large subunit ribosomal RNA", at positions 1561 to 2925 of the family's 2925-position model. The record is from RNAcentral. Lineage: Bacteria; Bacillati; Bacillota; Bacilli; Caryophanales; Bacillaceae.